This 468-nucleotide ribosomal RNA is filed under the name uncultured bacterium. Its description in RNAcentral is "partial 16S ribosomal RNA". It matches the Rfam family "Bacterial small subunit ribosomal RNA", at positions 28 to 507 of the family's 1533-position model. The record is from RNAcentral.
GACGAACGCUGGCGGCGUGCUUAACACAUGCAAGUCGAACGGAAAGGCCCUGCUUUUGUGGGGUGCUCGAGUGGCGAACGGGUGAGUAACACGUGAGUGACCUGCCCUUGACUUUGGGAUAACUUCAGGAAACUGGGGCUAAUACCGGAUAGGAGCUCCUACUGCAUGGUGGGGGUGGGAAAGUUUCGGCGGGUGGGGAUGGGCUCGCGGCUUAUCAGCUUGUUGGUGGGGUAGUGGCUUACCAAGGCUUUGACGGGUAGCCGGCCUGAGAGGGUGACCGGCCACAUUGGGACUGAGAUACGGACCAGACUCCUACGGGAGGCAGCAGUGGGGAAUAUUGCACAAUGGGCGGAAGCCUGAUGCAGCAACGCCGCGUGCGGGAUGACGGCCUUCGGGGUGUAAACCGCUUUCGCCUGUGACGAAGCGUGAGUGACGGUAAUGGGUAAAGAAGCACCGGCUAACUACGUG